GACGAACGCUGGCGGCGUGCUUAACACAUGCAAGUCGAACGGAAAGGCCCUGCUUUUGUGGGGUGCUCGAGUGGCGAACGGGUGAGUAAGACGUGAGUAACCUGCCCUUGACUUUGGGGUAACUUCAGGAAACUGGGGCUAAUACCGGAUAGGAGCUCCUGAUGCAUGGUGGGGGUUGGAAAGUUUCGGCGGUCGGGGCUGGACGCGCGGCUUAUCAGCUUGUUGGUGGGGGAGUGGCUUACCCAGGCUUUGACGGGUAGCCGGCCUGAGAGGGUGGACGGCCACAUUGGGCCUGAGAUACGGCCCAGACUCCUACGGGGGGCAGAAGUGGCGAGUAUUGCGCAGUGGGCGGACGUCUGAUGCGGCAACGCCGCGGGCGUGAAGACGGCCUUCGGGUUGUAAACCGCUUUCGCCUGUGACGAAGCGUGAGUGACGGUAAUGGGUAAAGAAGCACCGGCUAACUACGUG
This 468-nucleotide ribosomal RNA is filed under the name uncultured bacterium. RNAcentral describes it as "partial 16S ribosomal RNA". It matches the Rfam family "Bacterial small subunit ribosomal RNA", at positions 28 to 507 of the family's 1533-position model. The record is from RNAcentral.